AUACGGAGGGGGCUAGCGUUGCUCGGAAUUACUGGGCGUAAAGCGUACGCAGGCGGAUUGUUAAGUUAGAGGUGAAAUCCCAGGGCUCAACCCUGGAACUGCCUUUAAAACUGGCAAUCUAGAGUUAUGGAGAGGUAAGUGGAAUUCCUAGUGUAGAGGUGAAAUUCGUAGAUAUUAGGAGGAACACCAGAGGCGAAGGCGGCUUACUGGACAUAUACUGACGCUGAGGUACGAAAGUGUGGGGAGCGAACGGGAUUAGAAACCCUAGUAGUCC
This 274-nucleotide ribosomal RNA is filed under the name uncultured bacterium. Its description in RNAcentral is "partial 16S ribosomal RNA". It matches the Rfam family "Bacterial small subunit ribosomal RNA", at positions 523 to 796 of the family's 1533-position model. The record is from RNAcentral.